Small nucleolar RNA from Ornithorhynchus anatinus (platypus), 137 nucleotides. Lineage: Eukaryota; Metazoa; Chordata; Mammalia; Monotremata; Ornithorhynchidae. The record is from RefSeq and is a predicted model, not a curated record.
CACCCCUUAGGAUUGAAGCUGGAGAGUUUCCAAUACUCUACCAGUCUCGCUACAGGAGGGAGAGUCAAGCAGAGGCAUACCCAUUCCAUUUCUUGCUUGGGCAGUGGCUAGCAAGUGGAAGGCAGUCUGCUACAAGU